AAAGAAAAGAAGGACUGCAGACGACUUAUAUCUUGCAGAAGACUUUUCACACUCUAGGACCUAAAUGGAGAGAAUCAUAAACUUCAUUUUCGACCAUCCAUUUGUCACGGGGGCUGCUGUGGUAGGCGCUGUCACUGGCCUGUGGUAUGUCAUCUGGGGGAGACGCCCCCCUCCCCCACCAGUUGAACCACCUGUCCAAGAGGACAAUAUUGACCGACAGGCAGAUCUUCGAUUUAGAAUUCCCCCCCUCAGAAGAGUUAGAAUAGUUAAAUAAAUGGAAAUCGUGUUUGAGCAAACAUCGUAUUUGUGUGAAAAUAUUUGGAUUAGGC
This is a long non-coding RNA of Macrosteles quadrilineatus (aster leafhopper), 329 nucleotides long. RefSeq lists it as uncharacterized. NCBI's taxonomy places the organism in Eukaryota, Metazoa, Arthropoda, Insecta, Hemiptera, Cicadellidae. The record is from RefSeq and is a predicted model, not a curated record. The transcript is spliced from 3 exons.